ACCUACGGGAGGCAGCAGUGAGGAAUAUUGGUCAAUGGGCUUACGCCUGAACCAGCCAAGUCGCGUGAGGGAAGACUGCCCUAUGGGUUGUAAACCUCUUUUGUCAGGGAGCAACGCCGGCUACGUGUAGCCGGACUGAGAGUACCUGAAGAAAAAGCAUCGGCUAACUCCGUGCCAGCAGCCGCGGUAAUACGGAGGAUGCGAGCGUUAUCCGGAUUUAUUGGGUUUAAAGGGUGCGUAGGCGGAAUGCCAAGUCAGCGGUAAAAUCGCGGGGCUCAACCUCGCUCAGCCGUUGAAACUGGCGU
RNAcentral lists this ribosomal RNA (305 nucleotides) under uncultured bacterium. RNAcentral describes it as "bacterial SSU rRNA". It matches the Rfam family "Bacterial small subunit ribosomal RNA", at positions 337 to 639 of the family's 1533-position model. The record is from RNAcentral.